This 530-nucleotide small RNA is filed under the name Dacrymyces novae-zelandiae. Its description in RNAcentral is "eukaryotic LSU rRNA". The stretch from base 150 to 303 matches the Rfam family "5.8S ribosomal RNA". The record is from RNAcentral. Lineage: Eukaryota; Fungi; Basidiomycota; Dacrymycetes; Dacrymycetales; Dacrymycetaceae.
UCGUAACAAGGUUUCCGUAGGUGAACCUGCGGAAGGAUCAUUAUCGAAGAAACACUCUUCAUACACACCUGUGAACUGUCGCCUCUCGGGGCGCUAUUACAAACUCUUAUGUCGUCUAUGAAUGUCUAUGUUAUAUCUUAACAAAAUACAACUUUCAACAACGGAUCUCUUGGCUCCCACAUCGAUGAAGAACGCAGCGAAAUGCGAUAAUUAAUGUGAAUUGCAGAACCUAGUGAACCAUCGAGUUUUUGAACGCACCUUGCACUUUCCGGUCCUCCGGAAAGUAUGCCGGUUUGAGCGCCUUAUCAUCCUUGCACUCGCAAUGUUUGUUCAUUGUGUUUGCAGAUUUGAGUGUCUUUGCUGUCUUACCCCAGCUCACUCUGAAUGCAUUAGCAACCUGAAUAGCUUGAAGCAACGUGAUAAGUAUCUUCGUUGUAACAAGUUUGAAGGAUGCUUCAAAUCGUCCUCGGACAAUACCAAAUGCUAGGCAUCAAACUGGUAGGAUUACCCGCUGAACUUAAGCAUAUCAA